GACAGAGGGUGCAAACGUUGCUCGGAAUCACUGGGCGUAAAGCGCGUGUAGGCGGACAAUCAAGUCAGGUGUGAAAUCCCCGGGCUCAACCUGGGAACUGCAUCUGAAACUGGUUGUCUUGAGUAUCGGAGAGGGAAGCGGAAUUCCUGGUGUAGAGGUGAAAUUCGUAGAUAUUAGGAAGAACACCAGUGGCGAAGGCGGCUCACUGGUCCGGUACUGACGCUGAGGUGCGAAAGCGUGGGGAGCAAACAGG
Molecule: ribosomal RNA, 253 nt
Filed under: uncultured bacterium
Lineage: Bacteria
Description: partial 16S ribosomal RNA
Rfam family: Bacterial small subunit ribosomal RNA
Source: RNAcentral